AAUAUUUCACAUGAAAAUGUGAAGAAACAGGAUACCAUCAGACUAUUUUUUGUGACCAAGGAACACGAAAAACGAACGCAAGCAUCUUCAUAAAGGUAACUACAUAAACCAGUCAAUGUCAACCCAAGACAGCAUCUUGGUAGAAAGAUAAUUCAGAAGAGUAGGCUAACGCAAGUAGUAUUUACAAGUUUUCUUCAGCGUUAUUUACACAGUACGGUCUCUCCGCUUGAAACUUCAGAAGGAUCCGAAGGUAUUCUCGCCACUGUAGGUCAUGUACAGGAAG
This 283-nucleotide unclassified non-coding RNA is filed under the name Hevea brasiliensis (rubber tree). Lineage: Eukaryota; Viridiplantae; Streptophyta; Magnoliopsida; Malpighiales; Euphorbiaceae. The record is from RNAcentral.